RNAcentral lists this unclassified non-coding RNA (4749 nucleotides) under Helicoverpa zea (corn earworm). Its description in RNAcentral is "dual specificity protein kinase CLK2, transcript variant X4". Lineage: Eukaryota; Metazoa; Arthropoda; Insecta; Lepidoptera; Noctuidae. The record is from RNAcentral.
UUUUAAACUUAGAGGAAGUGCGAAAGGAUGGUGUGAUUCGUAAUAUCCAAACCUCGCCAAAACCACAAAAAGUGUCCACCCGUAAACCUGUCUUCUCCUCACUAGCAUAAUACAUGUAGUACAUCGUAAGCAACGUGCGGAACCAGAAUAAAGCGUAAAACGUCAGCGUGCCUGUUUGGGAUUACACGCGGGACGGGUUUGGCUUGCGAGUGCGCGUGCGCCUUCGCCCGUGAAGAUGUGCGCGAGAGACGGCGACCUCCUCGCGCUUGCGCCCGUUCUAUUUGUGUUCGCCUUCGUCACUCGGAACGCCUUCAGUCAGUCGCAAAGCUGAGCCGGCCGCCCGGCGCGUCUCUGGCGCGCUGAAAUAGUAGUCCACCGCGUCGGGCUGUGGGCGGCCUGUCCCCGGAGCCAUGGCUGCCCAGCCGCCGCGUCCACCCCCCAAUAACCUCCUGUUCUGCGGACCCCCACCCGCCCUUCCGCACGUGUUAUUACUACCUAGUGAUGCUGCAUGUGACAACGGUGACCCCACAGUUGCAUCCAGCACGACCAGCCAAACAUACGAUGCGGAUGCCUUACACGAAAUAAACAACGUGGGUGUGCCAACUUACGAAGGAUUGUACGAUGAUGAAGUAGAACUUAUCGAAGGCGGCCCAAAAAUUGAUUAUCAGUUGCCACCAGAAAGCUAUUUACGAAGAACUCAUAGUUUUGACGUAUCGGAUAUUUACGCUGCAAAUAUCGCUCACGAAAUAGACUCACGUGUCUUCCGACAUAGACGAUCUGAACCUGAUUUAUCUAAGUACAGAUUAUUUGCUGAAGUGACAGUGGAAUGCACGCCUAUACAGCCUCCCCCGCUUGUGCUCAACAACCCAUUCUACGACGGUUCGUAUGCACUAGAUUCAAGGCAAUUAAACCCAAAUGUGGUGAUGCUGCCAGAAAACUACCUAGCUUUUGAAGAUUCGUUCGUUCCUUCGUGGGAUUACAAACCGGAAUAUAUAAACCCUGAACUGUAUUAUGAUGGAUUGCCUUUAAUUCCUUCAAACGACCCCUGGUCCGUUUAUUGUAAUGAAAAUGCUGCUUUCGAAUAUUAUUCUCCUAAUUUUGAAGCACCGUUACAGGAAGAUGGUGUUCAUUAUACACCCCUAACGGAUUUAGAUUAUGCUAUACCACAGUAUAUGAGUUUACCAGUGGUCGAACAAGCUAAACUGGAGAAUUAUGUUAACAACAGCAGUUUUAAAUCAGAGGAAAACAAUCCGGAUAGUGCAAAUGAACCAGGUGACAAAAAUAACAACGAAACCAAUACACAAAAAACUGAUGUUCCAAUGUCAACUGUUACAGUGAACGAUGUGGUUAGUGAAGAUGCAAAAGUUAGUGCCAUUGACUCUUCUGGUAAUAGAAAAUCGUCUACUCAAAGUGAGGAAUCGUUGAAUGCUGAUAUUUCUAUCGAUGUGACAUCUAGUUUAGCUUUUGUUCCAAGUAGUAAAAGUUCACAGAGACCUGAUGAUACAGACGAUACAAGUGACGACACGUCUCCGUGUUCUACAGAUUAUCACGAGGCGUCCGCGCUAGAUUUAGUUCAAAGUCUCGAGGAGCUUUCUUGUUGUGAUAGUACUGAUUUCUCCCAAAGUAGAGAUGACGUUUCGCCGACUAUUCCAGAGUUACCCAAACCAAGUAAUGCUGUGGCAAUAAUAGAAAAUGAAAAUAUGCACAAUGCUGCAGUUAUAUCUACAACUACUGCUUCAAAUCUACCUCUAAACCAAUUGCCAUCCAUUCCAUUUCACGAACAACUACCAACGCAAGUACCUCCUAUUCAAAACAGUAAAGCACAAAAAGAACAACCAAAAACAAAUGUAAGAUUAGAACAAAUCCCACAAACGUUAGAACUUGAUAAAAAAAUUAUACCUGUCCCUGAAGUAGAAGCAAAUAAACCAAAAGAAACGUCACAUAACAAAACGAAUCAGCAAUUGCCAGAACCACAACUCCAUAACCAUAGUUCUAAGGUUAAUGAUCAAACUUUGAAAAUAACACAACAGCCGCCUCUGGUUCCACCUGCGGUGCCCACGUCAUGGCUGGCUCCAAGACCACCAGCUUGUGUUACUCAAACAAAUGUAGCGCAUCCGCCGCAGAUACGUGUUCAGAAUGUCGAAGGCAUUGUGUCAGAUUUGCAGAAGAGCCCUAAGGUUGCCUCCCAGCCACCUGUGAAAACUCAGCAGCUCGUACUAGAGCCUCAGCCUUCGUGCUCCUUCACGCCACAGCAACCAACACACAGCGCACCGCUCAAACCAGAAAAGCAACCUAAAGAAGUAGAGAGCUCCCGGGCACGCUCCUCCGUCAAGGACGACAAGGACGGACAUCUGGUCUACUGGCCCGGAUAUGUCAUGGGAGCGAGAUACAAAAUCAUCGACACGCUCGGUGAGGGCACCUUCGGCAAGGUGGUUGAGGUGAAGGACUUGGAAUUAGAGCACCGAAUGGCUCUGAAGAUAAUCAAGAACGUUGAGAAGUACAGAGAGGCUGCAAAACUCGAGAUAAAUGUCUUAGAAAAGUUAGCUGAAGUCGACCCUGAUUGUAAAAACUUAUGUGUUAAGAUGUUGGACUGGUUCGAAUACCACGGACACAUGUGCAUCGCAUUUGAAAUGCUCGGACAAAGUGUAUUUGACUUCCUGAAAGACAACAACUACCAGCCGUACCCGCUGGAGCAGGUGCGGCACAUCGCCUACCAGCUCAUAUACAGCGUGCUGUUCCUGCACGACAACAAGCUCACACACACAGAUCUCAAGCCUGAGAACAUCCUCUUUGUCGACAGCGACUACGAAGUUGUCAGCGUCUACAACGCCUCCAAAAAGAAGCAUGACCUGAUGCGGGUGAAGCGCAGCGACGUGAGACUGAUCGACUUCGGCAGCGCCACGUUCGACCACGAGCACCACAGCACCAUCGUCUCCACCAGGCACUACAGAGCGCCAGAAGUUAUAUUAGAAUUGGGUUGGACCCAGCCUUGUGAUGUAUGGUCCAUCGGCUGCAUCAUGUUCGAGCUGUACCUCGGCAUCACACUCUUCCAGACACAUGACAACAGAGAACACCUCGCCAUGAUGGAGCGGAUCUUAGGACCCAUACCUUACAGAAUGGCACGCAAGACAAAAACAAAAUACUUUUACCACGGCAAAUUAGACUGGGACGAGAAAUCGUCAGCUGGCAGAUACGUCAGAGAAAACUGCAAACCACUAAUGAGGUACCUGCAGAGCAACAGCGAGGAGGCGCGGCAGCUGUUCGAGCUGAUCGCGCGCAUGCUGGAGUACGAGCCCUCGCAGCGCAUCACGCUGCGCGAGGCCCUCAGCCAUCCCUUCUUCAACAAGUUGCCGCACCACCAGAGGCUCGGACACCAGUUUACAAGGCCAUCAUUCCUUAGGUCAGGCCUUUUUGUCGUUAGACGCUUAUUCUAAAGCUUAUUUUUCUAUAUGAUAAUGUUAUAUUUUUGGAACACAUGUUGCGACAUGAAGUUUUUAAUUGAGUUUUUUAUUGUGUUGUUAGUGUGCCGUUGAUUUCUUGCGCUUUCUAUAUUCUUAUUAUUUUUCUCGUCUGUAACUUAUUAUAUGCUAUUGUUUUUACUUUAUUUGGUAAUGGUGUUAGAUGAAUCUGAUGCUGCUAACUGUAAUCAGAUGUGACAAGCUAUAAUUAUUAAGCAUAUUUCUAUACUAAAAAUUAGUAUUGUCUCAAUGCUGAAGCUUGCACUAAAUCUGAUUGAUUAGCUCGAUUGACUGACACCAAAAAAAAACAAUGUAACCUUUUAGCUUUUUAUAACUAGAACUUAAUCACCAGAGUCGUAACAAAUUCUUGAGGGAUAUUCUCAAGGGUUUGUUUGUUCUUAUCAGAGAUCAAUUUUGAAUUUAUUAUAAUUUUCUAGACAUAUGUAUGUGUUAUGAUACAACUUCAGACGUCAUAAAUAAUAAUGUUUUCAUAACAUUCUGACAGUUGACUGACGCUUAACACAGUUCAAAAGAGCAGACUAGUCGUGGAUUUUAAUAACCGACCUAUUAGUUGUUUUGCGAUUAGAGAUUGGAUUUUGACAUAAGCUUCAUAUAAAUAUGUCACAACCAAUUCUAAUCUUUGUCAAUUCAAUUUCUAAUCAAUAAAUUGUCUAAACGGAUAGAUCGUUUAUGUGAAUCCACAUUCAGUUUAGUUAGAUUGUAUAUUCAUGUUUUAGUAUCAAUUUAUAAGACUAUUUCAGGCGACAGUUUUCUGUUUCUUUUACUGUAAAAAUAUAUUUAAAGUUCCCAUCAGGACCGAUGAUAAGCCGUCAUAAAUUGGAACUAAAUAAGUUUGUGCAUAUUACAGGCAAUGACCGCUUACGGUGCAACGGUGAAAGCUCGACGUCUCGCGAGCGGUCGCACUCGCUCAGCAGGUGAGCGGCCGGACGCGCCGCCUGAGCGGACCCGGACGCGGCCCGGCUACCCGGACACGCCCGUCCGGGGCCGGACGCGGCGCCCGGCAGCCGGACACUGCGCCCGGCGCCGGACACGGCCGGCCCGACCCGGACCGGCCCGGACGGCCCGCCGGCGCGGCCCGCACCCACGCGAUAGUCAAAUGGCGCGGCUGCGUCGCCCGCCGACUGUGUAAACUUGUACAGUUGUAAUGAAGUGAUAAGUGAUAAUUAUUUGUCGAACAUUGUAAUCUAGGUAAUAUUUUGUUGUGAAUCGGUACUUCUCAAUUUGUAUUUAUAAAGUAACUAUUAUUCGAAAUAAAGACUGUCAGUCUGGA